Molecule: long non-coding RNA, 582 nt
Organism: Dermacentor albipictus
Lineage: Eukaryota; Metazoa; Arthropoda; Arachnida; Ixodida; Ixodidae
Source: RefSeq, a predicted model, not a curated record
AGCUGCCGGCAGGGGGCGCCACAAGUUUAUGCCUGCGCCGUCGCGGGAAGCUUUUUGCAUCUCCGCAAACGAAAGCAACUUUGUACUUCCUUUCAAAACAGCACGCCGAAAGAUGGAACGGAACUGGAAGUUUAGGAACCUUUACCAUGUAGAGAGAUGAUGCCACAGCACAGACGCCACGUUACGUUCAAACACAGAAGCAGAGAGCAUGGAAAAUUUCCAGAGUAGAAGCGACAACGUAGACGCAAUUAUUCUAAUGAAAGAACGAGUUUAACUUCCAUUUAGUGCUACAUGUAUUUUGUAGAUGUCCAACUCAACCGUAUCCAACGCGAAAUGAGGUUUGUAGCACGCAGAUGAGCGCGGUUCAUGCUGCUCACGUGCAUCGGCUUCGUCAUCGCUCUAGGAAGUCAAGUCAAGGUGAACGGCUUGGUCGUUUUUUAUUGUUUACGCGUAGCUGCUCGAAACCAAGUCGCAAGCGCUGCUCGAUUCGUGCAUAAAUACGCAGCGCGCGGCAAUCCGCGGAGCCCGUCGACGCACUUUCUCUGCAUCGCUUGAGCAGCUAGCUUAAGCGCAGUACGUGUU